GACGAACGCUGGCGGCGUGCCUAAUACAUGCAAGUUGAGCGAUGAAGAUUGGUGCUUGCACCAAUUUGAAGAGCAGCGAACGGGUGAGUAACGCGUGGGGAAUCUGCCUUUGAGCGGGGGACAACAUUUGGAAACGAAUGCUAAUACCGCAUAAUAACUUUAAACAUAAGUUUUAAGUUUGAAAGAUGCAAUUGCAUCACUCAAAGAUGAUCCCGCGUUGUAUUAGCUAGUUGGUGAGGUAAAGGCUCACCAAGGCGAUGAUACAUAGCCGACCUGAGAGGGUGAUCGGCCACAUUGGGACUGAGACACGGCCCAAACUCCUACGGGAGGCAGCAGUAGGGAAUCUUCGGCAAUGGACGAAAGUCUGACCGAGCAACGCCGCGUGAGUGAAGAAGGUUUUCGGACCGUAAAACUCUGUUGAUAGAGAAGAACGUUGGUGAGAGUGGAAAGCUCAUCAAGUGACGGUAACUACCCAGAAAGGGACGGCUAACUACGUG
Molecule: ribosomal RNA, 497 nt
Filed under: uncultured bacterium
Lineage: Bacteria
Description: partial 16S ribosomal RNA
Rfam family: Bacterial small subunit ribosomal RNA
Source: RNAcentral